RNA transcript from Zingiber officinale, 5149 nucleotides. RefSeq lists it as uncharacterized. NCBI's taxonomy places the organism in Eukaryota, Viridiplantae, Streptophyta, Magnoliopsida, Zingiberales, Zingiberaceae. The record is from RefSeq and is a predicted model, not a curated record. The transcript has 26 exons.
AUUUUUAAGGUGCAGGAACUCAGGAAGUAGCUCGGUGCACGAAACCUCCUCAUCGCCGGUUGGCGACGCCGAUGGAAGACGAGAUCAUUCAACGGGUCUUAGAAGGCGGCGGCAGGGAUUAUAUCUCCUCCUCUUCCUCCGCCUCUCCUCCUUCCCCAGCUCCCUCCUCCUCCUCCUCCAUUCUCCAGUCCCUCCCUCUCCACGUGUCCUUCGAUCAUGGCUAUUAUCUUCUUGUCAAGGCAAUUCAGGAACUGAGGGAUAAGAAGGAUGGGCACAUUGUCACCGUCGGGAUCGGUGGCCCCAGCGGAUCGGGGAAAACCAGCUUGGCAGAAAAGGUGGAGUCAGUUCUUGGCUGCCUUGUCAUCUCCAUGGAGAAUUACCGCAACGGAAAUGAUGAUGGGAACGACUUGGACUCGAUAGAUUUUGACACUCUUGUCGGCAACCUACAGGAUCUGAUGAAGUCUAAGGAUACUAAGAUGCCUUUGUUCGAUUUUCAAGAAAAAAGGCGAAUUGGUUUGCGGCAAUUGAAGGUUUCUUCUUCGGGUGUGGUAAUUGUUGAUGGUGCUUAUGCACUGCACUCUACACUACGCUCACUUCUUGAUAUCAGGGUUGCCGUGGUUGGUGGAGUCCAUUUUAGCCUUCUAUCUAAAGUAAGACAUGAUAUUGGAGAUUCAUGUUCUCUGGACUACUUGAUUGACAGUAUUUUCCCUCUGUUUCGGAAACAUAUUGAGCCGGAUCUUCAUCAUGCACAGAUAAGAAUCAAUAACAGCUUUGUAUCUUCUUUUAGAGAACCUUAUUAUAAGCUGAAAUGCAAAAGUGAGUCACCUAAUGGAAGUGUAUCAUACUCUAUAAAUGGAGAUGAAGGAGAAACAGAGAAUUUUAUUGAGAUGUAUCUUCGGCCACCAUUUACUUCUGAAGAAGCAAAGAUAAAUGAUUGGAUAAAAGUUCGACAAUGUGGUAUUAAAUACUAUUUGUCAUUAGGUGAUCAAAGAAUUGUGGAUAAAUAUUUCAUCAUUCGGCCAAAAGCUGAGUUUGAGGUUGGGCGGACAACCCUAGGUGGUUUGCUUGCUUUGGGCUACAAUGUGGUAGUCAGCUACAAGCGUGCAUGUACAUCCUUCUAUAAUGGUCAGAUUUUGAUUGCCAUAGAGAGUAUUGACACACUCAACGAGAGUUUCAUGGUGUUGAAGGGUACAAGCAGAAAAAUCAUUGGAUCAGAAGCUUCCUGCCUAGGAAUCAAUGGACCAUGGAUAACGAAAUCCUAUCUGGAAAUGAUUCUUGAAACCAAAGGUGUUCCACGACUCAAUUCGCCGCCACCUGCAUCUACUAAUCUUUUAGUUGGAAAUCAAAAUAGAGGCCUUGCUGUACCAAGACCAAUUCGUUUGCCUUCUAGUGUCCUUCCCAGGAUUGAGGAUGUAACACAGCCAUGGACAAGAUCCCCAACCAAAUCAGACAUGGAGCCUGUGCUACCAAGAUGGCAUUUCAUAUCAGAUUCUUCUGCUUUCAGGGGUAACCAACGACUUGCUCCAAUGCAUGAUUCAUAUGAUUUGGAUAGGGGAUUGCUUCUUUCUGUUCAAGCAAUUCAGGCUUUAUUGGAGAACAAUGGAUUCCCAGUUAUUGUAGGAAUCGGUGGUCCUAGUGGAUCUGGCAAAACUAGUUUGGCUCAGAAAAUGGCUAAUAUUGUUGGCUGUGAAGUUAUCUCCUUGGAAAGCUAUUACAAAUCUGAACAAGCAAAGGAUUUUAAGUAUGAUGAGUUCAACUCCUUGGAUUUAUCUUUAUUGUCAAAGAAUAUUAGUGACAUAAGGGAACACCAUAAAGCCAAAGUUCCAUGCUUUGAUUUUGAAAAAUCUAGACGGAAUGGAUUCAAAGAGCUUCUGGUUUCAGAGGAUUCUGGCGUGGUGAUUUUUGAGGGCAUAUAUGCACUACAUCCAAAUAUUAGGAAGUCACUUGACUUUUGGAUUGCUGUUGUUGGUGGUGUUCAUUCACACCUUAUUGCGAGAGUUCAAAGAGACAAGAAUCGUGUUGGUUGUUCUAUAUUUCAGAAUGAGAUAAUGACAACUGUUUUCCCUAUGUUUCAGCAACACAUUGAACCACAUCUUGUUCAUGCACAUCUUAAAAUUCGCAAUGAUUUUGAUCCUGUACUUUCUCCUGAGAGUUCCUUAUUUGUACUUAAAAGUAACAAGCAGGUAUCAAACCCAGACCUACUUAAAGUGCUUGACCCUGGAAAAGUUUGCAGCUCCGUUCAGAACUUCAUUGAUGUUUAUUUAAGGCUUCCUGGAGUGCAUUCAAAUGGGCAGCUCGCAGAAGGAGAUUGUAUUCGUGUCAGAUUGUGUGAAGGAAGAUUUGCGUUGUUAAUACGAGAGCCUAUAAGAGAGGGGAAUUUUAUCAUACAACCGAAAGUAGAUUUUGAUAUCAGUGUGAGCACUGUUGCUGGCCUUCUAAAACUUGGUUAUCAAGCUGUUGCAUAUAUUGAAGCUUCUGCAGUCAUCUAUCAAGAUGGAAAGAUACUUAUUGAGGUGGACCAUCUACAAGCUGCUUCCUGUCCCUUUCUUCAAAUUAAAGGAACAAAUAAAGAAGUAGUUUCAACUGCAGCUUCCAUUCUCAGUCUGCAUGGUUCAUACACAACAAAGAGUUACCUCCAAAUUAUUCUCGAAAGCUUGCCCGAUUUUGGAAAUGAAUCUGAUGGAAUUCACAAUCAUCAAGCUGCUAGACUGCAGGACUUGGUGGAAUUUAUUCAGACACAAGUAAGUUAUGAUCAUCUUUCCAAAAUAACCUAUAUUCUUCCUAAUCUGAAGUUAACUACUCUAUUAGCAUAUAUGCUGCAAUCUAACUGCACUGUAAUCAUGUCCUUUUACUUUAGUAAAGAAUCAUAUUGUAUGAAUAAAAAAUCUGAAAAAAGUAGAGAAUCAAUAAGAUAUUAUAGAAGUUCCCAAUAAGAAUUGGCUCAGUAAACUCACUACAUCCGUACUUAAGUUGUUUUCAACCCAAUUGAUUUGACAUCUUCACACCCGAGAUACAACCACCCGAUUAUCAAAUCCCACAACCUCACAAGCAAACAUCAUACCCUCAUUACACCAUCAUCCCUCUAACCAGCCUCCUUUGUCAAGAAACCCUAUAACUCGGCUAAAUAAAGACACCAUGAUGGUUUACUAGUUUAAUCCACCACCACGACCCAAGUACAUCUUAUGAACCAAAACCCACUUAACUCCUCAGUGACCUCUUAUGAUUCCACUCGAUUCAAAGGAAAGAGGAAAGGAACAUACCUGUGAUUCAUCAAUCAAAAGAUAAAUAUGUUGCUAUGGGUGGAAAAAGUGCUCCUUCCUACAGCCAUGGAAGGUCCAUGUUCACCUGUGAUUUGCUGCAAUCAAAUCAUUGGAAAUGAAUGACUCAUUUCCAACAACAAAGAUCCAUGUCUCUACAAUAUGAGCAUGCACAGAGCUUAAAGAUUGCAGCAAGCUAUAGAAACUUAUGAUAUUUCUCACACAAGGAAGCCGAGAAGCGUUGCUACACAUACAGGAGGAAGGGGGAAAAAGAGGGGAAGGGGGUUCAUCUGCCACUGCUGUGAUGGUUUUUGGGCGAUGAAAAUGAUGGCUGCAGAUGAAUUUGACUGAACAAAGAAGUGGCAAGCAUCAAUCACUGGCAGCACUUCUGUAGGUGGAAGGUGAAGGUGCAGUGAUGACAGUUGCUAAUGGUCACAAGCAUUGAUGCAAUGUAGGAUGUUAGCGACGGAGGUGUGCACUGCAACAUCAGAUGAUGGACUGUAGUGGCAGAGGUUAACAAUGAUGGUAGUACAACCAGCAGCGUUGAUGAGAAUUGCAAGCACACAAAUGAGCAAGAGAGGGAUUGAGAGUAGGAGGCACUUGAGUGCACAUUGGGGAAAUGACAAUGAUUAUGUCUAUAGAGUUAUCCACUUAAACCCACUCAAGCUAAGCGGGCAAACUAGUUCAAUUCUGGUUCAGCUAAAACAAAUUGAUCCCAAAAGCACACCCAAAUCAAAAUUCAUCAUCAUCCAGCCUAACUCCAAAUUGAAUCCCAAGACCUAAAAGUCAGCAUUAAAACUUGUUUCAGAUUCAAAUACUUAUAAUUACCAACAAAUAACUCUCAAAUCUUCUAUUAGGUUUAAUAAAAUUCUGAUACAUUACACUAGAUCUCCAUUAACAAAAGUACAAUGUCCUAAAGGAGAUCUUUCAUCAUGGGAGGCAUCACAUACUUCAUACAGCAUGCACCUAUGAUGAGUGCUUUGACUAUGGGCACCAAUGACGUUGCAGCCGUAAUGAGCCACCGUAAACCUUGAGACUCUUGCUCCCUGUUGAUAAUUCUCCUUGUCCAUAUAUGAUUGUUAGAAAUGGCAUUGCCCUUGCAAAGUUAUAUAUUUGCAUGUGUCAAAGGACAUAGAUACUGAAAGAUGAAAGGCUUGAAUGGAGGUUCCAUUUUCAUGUAUUCCAAGCUUUGUUAUUUUCUUGUCAUGCAUAUUAGUCACAUGGUGCAGGCAGGAAAUCUAAACUAUGACGUAUCAACAAAAGAAAUUUUGCCAAGAGAUGCCAUAUUCGAAGACUUAAAUUGUAGGAUCAGGAAGCUGGAAAGAUGGAAUACGAUCAACAUGGUGUUUUGGACUAUUCUGAUGUCUGCUAUUGUUGGUUAUUCCUUGUACCAAAGAAAGCGUCACUAGACAAACAUGUUAACCAAGUUGACUGAUUAAUUUCUCAACAAUUUUUUUUCACCCUGUAUGCAUUUAAAGGAAUUCAUUCAGCAUUCACCAAUCACAGAAGGCUGAGUCAUUAUUUGCCAGUUACUUGGCUUCCAGAAUGCUGGAACAUAUAUACUUUACUGCUGAUCCACCAAUUGGCUGUGGAGAAUACUAGAAUUAAAACAGAUCUUCAUUGAAAGAGAACUUUGGUUUUACAUUUUUAGUACCAACAAAAUGUAGUUUCAUGACUGGCAAAAAAUUAAGUUAUAAUUUACAUAUUUAGUUUCCUCGCUGAAUGUGGCAUGUAAAUUAAUUGGACAUGAUCAUAGCAGGGCCACAAGUUUAUUUUCUUUUUCUCGUGUGUAAUUAACGAUACGGGACUGUUUGUAACUAAUUAUAAGCAGUGUUACAAUGUAAAUGGUUAUCAAGGUGUUUCUCAAAUCAAUUUGUUGCUGUGAAUUGAAA